This 685-nucleotide ribosomal RNA is filed under the name Acinetobacter baumannii. Its description in RNAcentral is "bacterial SSU rRNA". It matches the Rfam family "Bacterial small subunit ribosomal RNA", at positions 83 to 763 of the family's 1533-position model. Lineage: Bacteria; Pseudomonadati; Pseudomonadota; Gammaproteobacteria; Moraxellales; Moraxellaceae. The record is from RNAcentral.
GCUACUGAACAAGCGGCGGACGGGUGAGUAAUGCUUAGGAAUCUGCCUAUUAGUGGGGGACAACAUCUCGAAAGGGAUGCUAAUACCGCAUACGUCCUACGGGAGAAAGCAGGGGAUCUUCGGACCUUGCGCUAAUAGAUGAGCCUAAGUCGGAUUAGCUAGUUGGUGGGGUAAAGGCCUACCAAGGCGACGAUCUGUAGCGGGUCUGAGAGGAUGAUCCGCCACACUGGGACUGAGACACGGCCCAGACUCCUACGGGAGGCAGCAGUGGGGAAUAUUGGACAAUGGGGGGAACCCUGAUCCAGCCAUGCCGCGUGUGUGAAGAAGGCCUUAUGGUUGUAAAGCACUUUAAGCGAGGAGGAGGCUACUUUAGUUAAUACCUAGAGAUAGUGGACGUUACUCGCAGAAUAAGCACCGGCUAACUCUGUGCCAGCAGCCGCGGUAAUACAGAGGGUGCAAGCGUUAAUCGGAUUUACUGGGCGUAAAGCGCGCGUAGGCGGCUAAUUAAGUCAAAUGUGAAAUCCCCGAGCUUAACUUGGGAAUUGCAUUCGAUACUGGUUAGCUAGAGUGUGGGAGAGGAUGGUAGAAUUCCAGGUGUAGCGGUGAAAUGCGUAGAGAUCUGGAGGAAUACCGAUGGCGAAGGCAGCCAUCUGGCCUACCACUGACUCUGACGUGCGAGAGCAUG